Molecule: long non-coding RNA, 338 nt
Filed under: Gallus gallus (chicken)
Lineage: Eukaryota; Metazoa; Chordata; Aves; Galliformes; Phasianidae
Description: lncRNA (ENSGALG00010023308.1)
Source: RNAcentral
UGGAAUGGCUUUAAACGAAAAGAGGGAAGAUUUAGGUUAGAUAUUAGGAGGCAGGAAUUUCUUACUCGAGGUAUUGAGGCACUGACACAGGAUGCCCAGGGAGGUUGUGAAUGACGCGUCUCCGGAGGCGUUCGAGGCCAGGCUGGAUGUGGCUCUCUGGGCAGCCCAAUUGAGUGGGUGGCAGCCCGGCCGGUGGUGGAGGCAUUCGAGCUCGAUGAUCUUUGAGGUCUGAGCCAUACUGUGAGAGAAAUCAAUCAACAGAGGCCAAGCCAAUUGUAUUUUUGUUUUGUUUUGUUCUUUAACAUCACAUAGAUACAACAACGUAAGCCAUUCCUAAG